GAGUUUGAUCCUGGCUCAGAUUGAACGCUGGCGGCAGGCUUAACACAUGCAAGUCGAGCGGGGGAGAUUGCUUCGGUAAUUGACCUAGCGGCGGACGGGUGAGUAAUACUUAGGAAUCUGCCUAUUAAUGGGGGACAACAUCUCGAAAGGGAUGCUAAUACCGCAUACGCCCUACGGGGAAAGCAGGGGAUCACUUGUGACCUUGCGUUAAUAGAUGAGCCUAAGUCGGAUUAGCUAGUUGGUGGGGUAAAGGCCUACCAAGGCGACGAUCUGUAGCGGGUCUGAGAGGAUGAUCCGCCACACUGGGACUGAGACACGGCCCAGACUCCUACGGGAGGCAGCAGUGGGGAAUAUUGGACAAUGGGGGGAACCCUGAUCCAGCCAUGCCGCGUGUGUGAAGAAGGCCUUAUGGUUGUAAAGCACUUUAAGCGAGGAGGAGGCUCCUGUAGUUAAUACCUACAGAGAGUGGACGUUACUCGCAGAAUAAGCACCGGCUAACUCUGUGCCAGCCGCCGCGG
Molecule: ribosomal RNA, 518 nt
Filed under: uncultured microorganism
Description: bacterial SSU rRNA
Rfam family: Bacterial small subunit ribosomal RNA
Source: RNAcentral